Molecule: ribosomal RNA, 298 nt
Filed under: uncultured bacterium
Lineage: Bacteria
Description: partial 16S ribosomal RNA
Rfam family: Bacterial small subunit ribosomal RNA
Source: RNAcentral
UACAGAGGUCUCAAGCGUUGUUCGGAAUCACUGGGCGUAAAGCGUGCGUAGGCUGUUUCGUAAGUCGUGUGUGAAAGGCGCGGGCUCAACCCGCGGACGGCACAUGAUACUGCGAGACUAGAGUAAUGGAGGGGGAACCGGAAUUCUCGGUGUAGCAGUGAAAUGCGUAGAUAUCGAGAGGAACACUCGUGGCGAAGGCGGGUUCCUGGACAUUAACUGACGCUGAGGCACGAAGGCCAGGGGAGCGAAAGGGAUUAGAUACCCUGGUAGUCCACAUCGGGUGCCAGCAGCCGCGGUA